GGAAGAGGAAACCCAGGAGCAUGAACAUGAACAGAAAGUAAACAAAUACCAAGCUAUACUGGCAGCCCGUUUGAAGGCUAAAUACUUCUCUAAUAAGGCUUUUGAUGGAGGAAAAAUCUUUGAAGCAGAAACUAUUGUUGAUGGCCAAACUAUCCAAUCAAGCAGGUGGCCAUGUACAAGUUCGUUCACGAACCCAAUAAUCUUUUUCCGAGAUAAGAACAACCAUGAGAGGAAGGAUUCUCCAUCUUUGGUACCAGACUCCUCUGCCAAGAACGACUCUCCAUCUAUAGUAGCUGAGGCCUCUCCAAAGAAUAAUGUAAAUGCUUUGGCAGCAGAAAACAAUCUAACACCUAGCAAGAGACAGCCAUCCAAGGAGACCUGAUGGGAUAAAAUUAGGCUAGUGAGGUUGUUGUAUGUUCCUCUGAAAUAUGAAGACAUGUGAGUUAUCAUGAAACAAAAAUCGGUCCAGCAGAUGUUUGUAAACUUUGCUAGUUUUAUUUCACUUAACCUGUUUCAGCCUCAUCUGUUGUGAAGAAUCGUUGUAUUCUUGAUAUUUAAUUAGAUGAAUCAGAGCAGAACAUUAACUGGUUGCUA
Molecule: long non-coding RNA, 594 nt
Organism: Lolium rigidum
Lineage: Eukaryota; Viridiplantae; Streptophyta; Magnoliopsida; Poales; Poaceae
Exons: 3
Source: RefSeq, a predicted model, not a curated record